UUUUUUCACUGACUGCACAGAGAGGGUAUGUAUUCUGCAAAGUUCAGAUUGAAAACCUGCUUUGUAGCCUAGGUGGAACCCAGACCCCUACUAAGCACGCAGUACUUUGCCACAGGUAGUGUGUGCGUGGUGGCUAGUGGGCUGAUCGGUUUGUAGUUCCUAGGAUCUUCCCUUACCUCUGCUAAAAGACCACUAACAUCACUCUCCUCCUUCUUCUUUCUUUUUUUUUUUUUUCCCCAGUGUUGUGCAAAGCAAAAUAAUGAAUGUUGAAUCAAUAGAAGAAUCCACAGUUUAACUGCUCUAAGGCAAAAAAAAAAAGCAAUUUAAAACUAUAAAUUAUUUUUCUUAAAGCAUUUUAGCAGCAUCAUCGUUCUGUGUUUUACUUGAAAUAUUAUUUGGAUCCCCUUCAUGUGAAAUGCUUUAUUUAAAGCUUUUUCAGACUGUUAAAUUAAUAGAUUAGUUUUAGUAGUGAACCAGUUGGAGUUAAUCAAUUGAGUACAACUGUACAGAGGCUCUGUAAGCUAGGCUGGAUUUGAAGGGUUUAAUUUUAAUCAUAGUCUGAGAGCUACAGCUGCUUCAUGUUUGUUUAGUAAUAGAGUUGAUGAGCAGCUAAUUUGAAAGGAAAGUGCAGACACAGGUGUGAAAUUCCUCAUGAGUAUAAGAGAACUGGCUCUGGAGGCACCAAGUUGGUGCUGAACAUAUUGCACUAUGGUUUGUCUGUAUCAGACUUUCUGCCUUGACUACAGCUUCCAACAGGCUGACCAGCUGAGGAUUUAACUGCUUUGGCACCUUACUCUGCUCAAACUGUUGUGGUUCCACUUGGAAAUAUUUAAAACAAAGCAAAAGGGUCUUCCAGAGACCAGCAGAGUUACAAAUAAAGAAGUAUUUGAGAAGCAGGCAAAAGUCCUCAUGAAAACUGCAGGUCAGUAAAAGUGACCACAAUUGCCUUCACGCCUAUAGACAGAAAUGCAGCUUGAAGACA
Molecule: long non-coding RNA, 982 nt
Filed under: Anser brachyrhynchus (Pink-footed goose)
Lineage: Eukaryota; Metazoa; Chordata; Aves; Anseriformes; Anatidae
Description: lncRNA (ENSABRG00000020054.1)
Source: RNAcentral